CCACGGAACCGAUGAAGUUGGGUGUGCCCGAAAGGGAACCGUAACACAGGUGCUGCAUGGCUGUCGCCAUCGUCGGUGUCGUGAGAUGUUGGGUUAAGUCCCGCAACGAGCGCAACCCUUGCCAUUAGUUGCUACAUUUAGUUGGGCACUCUAAUGGGACUGCCGGUGACAAACCGGAGGAAGGUGGGGAUGACGUCAAGUCCUCAUGGCCCUUAUGGGUAGGGCUUCACACGUCAUACAAUGGCCCGUACAGAGGGUUGCCAACCCGCGAGGGGGAGCUAAUCCCAGAAAGCGCGUCGUAGUCCGGAUUGUAGUCUGCAACUCGACUACAUGAAGUCGGAAUCGCUAGUAAUCGCGGAUCAGCAUGUCGCGGUGAAUACGUUCCCGGGCCUUGUACACACCGCCCGUCACACCAUGGGAGUGGGUUUCACCAGAAGCAGC
RNAcentral lists this ribosomal RNA (441 nucleotides) under uncultured bacterium. RNAcentral describes it as "bacterial SSU rRNA". It matches the Rfam family "Bacterial small subunit ribosomal RNA", at positions 989 to 1430 of the family's 1533-position model. The record is from RNAcentral.